GAUGAACGCUGGCGGCGUGCCUAACACAUGCAAGUCGAGCGAACCCUUCGGGGUGAGCGGCGGGCGGGUGAGUAACGCGUGGGUAACCUGCCCUAUACACACGGAUAACGUACCGAAAGGCACGCUAAUACGGGAUAAAGUUGUUGGAUGGCAUCUUCUAACAAUCAAAGCUCCGGCGGUAUAGGAUGGACCCGCGUCUGAUUAGCUAGUUGGUGAGGUAAUGGCUCACCAAGGCGACGAUCAGUAGCCGACCUGAGAGGGUGAUCGGCCACACUGGAACUGAGACACGGUCCAGACUCCUACGGGAGGCGGCAGUGGGGAAUAUUGCGCAAUGGGCGAAAGCCUGAUGCAGCAACGCCGCGUGAGCGAUGAAGGUCUUCGGAUCGUAAAGCUCUGUCCUCAAGGAAGAUAAUGACGGUACUUGAGGAGGAAGCCCCGGCUAACUACGUGCCAGCCGCCCCGUAA
Molecule: ribosomal RNA, 465 nt
Filed under: uncultured bacterium
Lineage: Bacteria
Description: partial 16S ribosomal RNA
Rfam family: Bacterial small subunit ribosomal RNA
Source: RNAcentral